RNAcentral lists this small RNA (326 nucleotides) under Pongo abelii (Sumatran orangutan). Its description in RNAcentral is "processed transcript". The record is from RNAcentral. Lineage: Eukaryota; Metazoa; Chordata; Mammalia; Primates; Hominidae.
AAAAAAAGGAAAAGAAAACAGGAAAAGACGAAAUUCUGAAUCCAGUGCCCGUUCCUUGCAGAUCCACCAACAGUGGUACCAGCCUCUAGUCUCAAUGUGAGGUUUGACUCCAGGACGAUGAAUUUAAGCUGGGACUGCCAAGAAAACACAACCUUCAGCAGGUGUUUCUUAACUGACAAGAAGAACAGAGUCGUGGAACCCAGGCUCAAUAACAAUGAAUGUUCGUGCACAUUUCGUGAAAUUUGUCUGCAUGGAGGAGUCACUUUUGAGGUUCACGUGAAUACUAGCCAAAGAGGAUUUCAACAAAAACUGCUUUAUCUAAAUUC